CAAUUGCAUCAGGAAUCCCAAAUGGGUACCAACCGAGAGAACAUACUCCACGGUGGUAAAACGAUGCGGACCGGAAGGUCAAAAUAAAAGUAAUCUAC
This 98-nucleotide non-coding RNA is filed under the name unclassified sequences. RNAcentral's name for it is "SAM-I-IV sequence". It matches the Rfam family "SAM-I/IV (S-adenosyl methionine) riboswitch aptamer". Rfam says of the family: It is found upstream of a number of genes which code for proteins involved in methionine or cysteine biosynthesis. It has been found mostly in the order Actinomycetales. The record is from Rfam by way of RNAcentral.